AUACGGAGGAUCCAAGCGUUAUCCGGAUUUAUUGGGUUUAAAGGGUGCGCAGGCGGCCUUAUAAGUCAGUGGUGAAAUCUCCCGGCUCAACCGGGAAACUGCCAUUGAUACUGUAGGGCUAGAAUACAGACGAGGUAGGCGGAAUGUAGCAUGUAGCGGUGAAAUGCUUAGAUAUGCUACAGAACACCGAUCGCGAAGGCAGCUUACCAGACUGUAAUUGACGCUAAGGCACGAAAGCGUGGGGAGCGAACAGGAUUAGAUACCCCAGUAGUCC
RNAcentral lists this ribosomal RNA (274 nucleotides) under uncultured bacterium. Its description in RNAcentral is "partial 16S ribosomal RNA". It matches the Rfam family "Bacterial small subunit ribosomal RNA", at positions 523 to 796 of the family's 1533-position model. The record is from RNAcentral.